UACGUAGGGUGCGAGCGUUGUCCGGAAUUACUGGGCGUAAAGCGCACGUAGGCGGAUCGAUCAGUCAGGGGUGAAAUCCCAGGGCUCAACCCUGGAACUGCCUUUGAUACUGUCGAUCUGGAGUAUGGAAGAGGUGAGUGGAAUUCCGAGUGUAGAGGUGAAAUUCGUAGAUAUUCGGAGGAACACCAGUGGCGAAGGCGGCUCACUGGUCCAUUACUGACGCUGAGGUGCGAAAGCCAGGGGAGCAAACGGG
RNAcentral lists this ribosomal RNA (253 nucleotides) under uncultured bacterium. RNAcentral describes it as "partial 16S ribosomal RNA". It matches the Rfam family "Bacterial small subunit ribosomal RNA", at positions 524 to 776 of the family's 1533-position model. The record is from RNAcentral.